UACGGAAGGCAGCAGUGGGGAAUAUUGCACAAUGGGCGCAAGCCUGAUGCAGCCAUGCCGCGUGUAUGAAGAAGGCCUUCGGGUUGUAAAGUACUUUCAGUCGUGAGGAAGGUGUUAAGGUUAAUAACCUUAGCAAUUGACGUUAGCGACAGAAGAAGCACCGGCUAACUCCGUGCCAGCAGCCGCGGUAAUACGGAGGGUGCGAGCGUUAAUCGGAAUUACUGGGCGUAAAGGGCACGCAGGCGGUUAAUUAAGUUGGAUGUGAAAUCCCCGGGCUUAACCUGGGAAUGGCAUUCAAGACUGGUUAGCUAGAGUCUUGUAGAGGGGGUAGAAUUCCAUGUGUAGCGGUGAAAUGCGUAGAGAUGUGGAGGAAUACCGGUGGGCGAAGGCGGCCCCUGGGACAAAGGACUGACGCUCAUGUGCGAAAGCGUGGGGAGCAAAACAGGGAUUAGAUACC
Molecule: ribosomal RNA, 457 nt
Filed under: uncultured bacterium
Lineage: Bacteria
Description: bacterial SSU rRNA
Rfam family: Bacterial small subunit ribosomal RNA
Source: RNAcentral